Molecule: long non-coding RNA, 779 nt
Organism: Gadus morhua (Atlantic cod)
Lineage: Eukaryota; Metazoa; Chordata; Actinopteri; Gadiformes; Gadidae
Exons: 3
Source: RefSeq, a predicted model, not a curated record
AGAUCUCGACACAACACCGGCCUCAAGCAACCCAGGCUUUGGACGGCGCCCCCGAGGAUGACACCACCGUGGAAAUGGAAAUGGGUGAAAACACUGUCUCUGGUUGUACUGAGUUGGCUUCGACACCUCUGAUGGAAGACCACGAUUACACAGCCAGCUCUUUCAUCGUGGUCGACCGUGAGAAAUUUGAGAGCAUGUCGAGGCAGAUCGAGGAGCUCACACGGCAGAUCGAAACACUGCACAUGGAGAGAUUUGGAUUGCAACGGUUUUCUACAUCACCUAGUGACAUUCGCUACUAUUCCAGAUUUCCAUCAUAUGAACAUUUGAUGGCCUUUUGGGAUCUAAUUCAAGAGGCAACCAGCAGAAUGGUGAGAGUCACCAGUGGUCAGAAGAACCUCUCCACCAGUACAUCCACUGAGACCCCUAUGAACAGACCAACAAAACUGCUGCCAAUUGACGAGCUCUUCCUCUUCCUCAACUACCUGUCAACCGGCUGUACACAAAGGGAGCUUGGUCACAAGUUCAAUAUCCACAGAGCAACAGCAAGCAGAAUAAUUGUGACGUGGUCCAACUUUUUGUAUACUUUGCUUGGAUCGCGUUAGCAUGACGUGUCACUGCCUGUUACGAACCCCUGCUCGUUAAAGAGGUGCAACAAAAAGGAGGGAGACAACUGAUAAAAUGUUUGAAUACGUUAUCAUUUAUUGAUAAAUCAAGGGAUAGGGGGGAAUUAAAUAAAGAGAAAGGAGAUUGCCCUUCAAUAAACAAAGCAUUCAAAUGAA